This 797-nucleotide ribosomal RNA is filed under the name uncultured SAR324 cluster bacterium. RNAcentral's name for it is "SSU rRNA". It matches the Rfam family "Bacterial small subunit ribosomal RNA", at positions 69 to 882 of the family's 1533-position model. The record is from RNAcentral. Lineage: Bacteria; Deltaproteobacteria.
AGAAAGUUCCUUCGGGAGCGAUUAAAGUGGCGCACGGGUGAGUAACGCGUAGACAAUCUGCCCUUCAGUCUGGGACAACUUUUCGAAAGGAGAGCUAAUACCGGAUAACAAUGUUUAACCUAAGUUAAGUAUUUGAAAGCUUUAUGUGCUGAAGGAGGGGUCUGCGUCCCAUUAGCUAGUUGGUAAGGUAAAGGCUUACCAAGGCGACGAUGGGUAGCGGGUUUGAGAGGACGAUCCGCCACACUGGAACUGAGACACGGUCCAGACUCCUACGGGAGGCAGCAGUGGGGAAUAUUGCACAAUGGAGGCAACUCUGAUGCAGCAAUGUCGCGUGAGUGAAGAAGGCCCUUGGGUCGUAAAGCUCUUUUAUGGGGGAAGAUGAUGACGGUACCCCAAGAAUAAGCACCGGCUAACUAUGUGCCAGCAGCCGCGGUAAUACAUAGGGUGCGAGCGUUGUUCGGAAUUACUGGGCGUAAAGGGCGCGCAGGCGGAAUAGUAAGUCGGAGGUGAAAGCCCGGGGCUCAACCCCGGAGGGUCUUUCGAAACUGCUAAUCUAGAGAGGGUCAGGGGCCGGCAGAAUUCCUGGUGUAGAGGUGAAAUUCGUAGAUAUCAGGAGGAAUACCGGUGGCGAAGGCGGCCGGCUGGGGCCACUCUGACGCUGAGGCGCGAAAGCGUGGGGAGCAAACAGGAUUAGAUACCCUGGUAGUCCACGCCGUAAACGAUGAGCACUGGACGUCCGGAGGGUUCGACCCUUCUGGGUGUCUCAGCUAACGCAUUAAGUGCUCCGCCUGGGAGUA